UACGUAGGGUGCAAGCGUUGUCCGGAAUCAUUGGGCGUAAAGCGCGCGUAGGUGGCCAUGUAAGUCCGCUGUGAAAGUCAAAGGCUCAACCUUUGAAUGCCGGUGGAUACUGCAUGGCUAGAGUACGGAAGAGGCGAGUGGAAUUCCUGGUGUAGCGGUGGAAUGCGCAGAUAUCAGGAGGAAAACCAAUAGCGAAGGCAGCUCGCUGGGACGUUACUGACACUGAGGCGCGAAAGCGUGGGGAGCGAACAGG
RNAcentral lists this ribosomal RNA (253 nucleotides) under uncultured bacterium. RNAcentral describes it as "partial 16S ribosomal RNA". It matches the Rfam family "Bacterial small subunit ribosomal RNA", at positions 524 to 776 of the family's 1533-position model. The record is from RNAcentral.